AUCCAGUUGAUGAUUCUUAAAUAGGACGAAACGCGCGUCUUGGAU
Schistosoma haematobium is the source of this 45-nucleotide non-coding RNA. The record is from Rfam. NCBI's taxonomy places the organism in Eukaryota, Metazoa, Platyhelminthes, Trematoda, Strigeidida, Schistosomatidae.